This 575-nucleotide ribosomal RNA is filed under the name uncultured bacterium. RNAcentral's name for it is "bacterial SSU rRNA". It matches the Rfam family "Bacterial small subunit ribosomal RNA", at positions 62 to 607 of the family's 1533-position model. The record is from RNAcentral.
UCGCACGAGAAAGCCUGAAGCUUGCUUUAGGCGAGUAAAGUGGCGCACGGGUGAGUAAGGCACGGAUAAUCUACCUUUGAGUUCGGGAUAACACUUCGAAAGAGGUGCUAAUACCGGAUGAUAUCAUGAGUGCUGCGGCAUUUAUGAUCAAAGAUGGCCUCUGCAUGCAAGCUGUUGCUCAGAGAUGAGUCCGCGUACCAUUAGCUUGUUGGUGGGGUAAGGGCCUACCAAGGCGACGAUGGUUAGCUGGUCUGAGAGGAUGAUCAGCCACACUGGCACUGACACACGGGCCAGACUCCUACGGGAGGCAGCAGUGAGGAAUUUUGCGCAAUGGGGGAAACCCUGACGCAGCAACGCCGCGUGAGUGAAGAAGGCCUUCGGGUCGUAAAGCUCUGUCGAGUGGGAAGAACCCUUGCCGGAUUAAGAGUCUGGCGAGCUGACGGUACCACUUAAGGAAGCACCGGCUAACUCCGUGCCAGCAGCCGCGGUAAUACGGAGGGUGCAAGCGUUAUUCGGAAUUACUGGGCGUAAAGGGCGCGCAGGCGGCUUGAUAAGUCAGUUGUGAAAGCCCGGGG